AUACAGAGGUUGCAAGCGUUAAUCGGAAUUACUGGGCGUAAAGAGUACGUAGGUGGUUUAUCAAGUUGGCUGUGAAAUACCUGGGCUUAACCUGGGUCUGUCAGUCAAUACUGGUAUAACUAGAGGCCAAGAGAGGGUAGUGGAAUUUCCGGUGUAGCGGUGAAAUGCAUAGAUAUCGGAAGGAACACCAGUGGCGAAGGCGGCUACCUGGCUUGGUUCUGACACUGAGGUACGAAAGCGUGGGGAGCAAACAGGAUUAGAAACCCCAGUAGUCC
This 275-nucleotide ribosomal RNA is filed under the name uncultured bacterium. Its description in RNAcentral is "partial 16S ribosomal RNA". It matches the Rfam family "Bacterial small subunit ribosomal RNA", at positions 523 to 796 of the family's 1533-position model. The record is from RNAcentral.